GACGAACGCUGGCGGCAUGCCUAAUACAUGCAAGUCGAGCGAACAGAUGAAGUGCUUGCACUUCUGACGUUAGCGGCGAACGGGUGAGUAACACGUAAGGAAUCUACCUAUAAGCGGGGGAUAACAUUCGGAAACGGGUGCUAAUACCGCAUAAUAUCUCCUUCCGCAUGGAAGAAGAUUGAAAGACGGCUCUGCUGUCACUUAUAGAUGACCUUGCGGUGCAUUAGUUAGUUGGUGGGGUAACGGCCUACCAAGACGAUGAUGCAUAGCCGACCGGGGAGGUGGAUCGGCCACAUUGGGACUGAGACACGGCCCAAACUCCUACGGGAGGCAGCAGUAGGGAAUCUUCCGCAAUGGGCGAAAGCCUGACGGAGCAAUGCCGCGUGAGUGAAGAAGGCCUUCGGGUCGUAAAACUCUGUUAUAAGAGAUGAACAAAUUGUAGAGUAACUGCUACAGUCUUGACGGUAUCUUAUCAGAAAGCCACGGCUAACUACGUGCCAGCCGCCGCCGUAA
Molecule: ribosomal RNA, 513 nt
Filed under: uncultured bacterium
Lineage: Bacteria
Description: partial 16S ribosomal RNA
Rfam family: Bacterial small subunit ribosomal RNA
Source: RNAcentral